Molecule: ribosomal RNA, 253 nt
Filed under: uncultured bacterium
Lineage: Bacteria
Description: partial 16S ribosomal RNA
Rfam family: Bacterial small subunit ribosomal RNA
Source: RNAcentral
UACGUAGGGUGCAAGCGUUGUCCGGAAUUAUUGGGCGUAAAGCGCACGUAGGCGGAUACUUAAGUCAGGGGUGAAAUCCCGGGGCUCAACCCCGGAACUGCCUUUGAUACUGGGUAUCUCGAGUCCGGAAGAGGUGAGUGGAAUUCCGAGUGUAGAGGUGAAAUUCGUAGAUAUUCGGAGGAACACCAGUGGCGAAGGCGGCUCACUGGUCCGGUACUGACGCUGAGGAGCGAAAGCGUGGGGAGCGAACAGG